Non-coding RNA from Oryza nivara, 199 nucleotides. The record is from Rfam. Lineage: Eukaryota; Viridiplantae; Streptophyta; Magnoliopsida; Poales; Poaceae.
AAUAAGUACAGCCAUAAGUUUCCGCGCUUAAUUUUGAUCGUCUGUCUUAUUUAAAUUUUUUUUAUAAUUACCAUUUUUAUUGUUAUAAGAUGAUAAAACAUAAAUAGUAUUUUACUCGUGACUUAUGUUUUAAUUAUUUUAAAAAAAGUUUUCAUAUAAAAAGAAUGGUCAAAAUUGAACGUGAAAAACUAUUGUUAGG